AAACCUUUCCUCUAUGUUGCUCUCUCACACUAUAUUCUUUUUGGUUUAGUAAUUCACCCCUAAAUCCUACAAAGCCCUGCCCUAUUUUAAGUAUUGUAACCCCCGAUCACCGAUACCCUAUCCGACUGACGUAGGGCCCCGUAACGUAUGUCAAGGCUCUGCCUAAAUUCGUUGGGGUUCUGUCUCGUGAUGUAGGGAUAACAUGAAAUUGGGUUACCAUACUUAAUGUGAGUGCACUAUAUAUUUUAUUAAAUAACCCAGGAGUGAAACUCGAAAUAUAACAACUCUCCAAAAACACCUCUGAUACCCUACACUUCCUAAAAUACACCCCGUAUGUGAAAACCGAGCCCGGAAUACAAUAUAGCAUUUAAAAUAAAUUAAAAACAAGAAAAUAUAAGUUUACGCGGGCCGCGUAAAGAUCCUCGCUUAGUUAACGCGGGCCGCGAGAGGUUAGAAAGGUGGCGCAGCCCUGGGCCGCCACGUGGCACAACACCCGUCAAGCCUAUACCUCAACUCAGCAUAGCUAUACGUUGACUUUGGGUCAACGCGGGCCGCGUAAGACCUGUUCUUAUUUGACGCGGGCCGCGAGAGAGUUCAGUAUCAGCCCUAUAAAUUGGAUCGUCGAGCCUUCAGUCCGAUCGUUCAUUUCUUUCUUUCUCUCUCUUAAUUUCUGAGUAGUAGAAGUAAUACCCGGGUAUAAUGCCCCCCUAAUUAGCGAAGCUCUGCCUCGUUGUAAGUAUCAUAACCCCUGGAUACGUAUUAGAUACUCUGCCCGAUUGAUCUAGGGUUCCGUAACGGCUGUCGUGGUUCUGCCCGACGUAGUCGUUGGAAUACCGUCUCGGGUAGGGUAUUACUAAUGUUAAAAUGGGUUAUUAUACUAACGCGUGUGCAUUGUUUAUUUAAUUAGACUAUAACCAGGGAAUCACAAAGGAAAGCCCUAUAAUAGCAAUGUGAGUUGAUCCUUCUUUUUAUGUACUCAUUUUUGUAACUUAGUGUGAAGCCAAUAAAAGCCAGCUGGAGAGCACUGAAGGCUUGGGAAAGUGGCAAUAAAGUUACCUAAAAUAAAAUAGAUGUUUUUAUUAAACAAAAUAGGAUUUAUUCCUAUGAAAAUGUGUGUACUACAAACUUGGGUUUUACCCAUGUGUUUAAUAUUAUGAAAAUAUGGUGGUUUUACU
Molecule: long non-coding RNA, 1175 nt
Filed under: Helianthus annuus (common sunflower)
Lineage: Eukaryota; Viridiplantae; Streptophyta; Magnoliopsida; Asterales; Asteraceae
Description: hypothetical non coding rna
Source: RNAcentral